AUGUAUGCCUUUGAUAUGGACCUUGAAAUUCUACAUGUCUUUGACCCGAAGCGCACAUGUGCUGGAAUAAGGAUUCUGGAGAGGCUUCAUCAUGAUACUUGUGAGAUACUACUGGAUGGACUUCUACGGUGUGUCGAUGCUUACUUUGAAGGAUGGGAACAUGACAGAUCAAGAUGGAAGUUCAAAUACCAUGAUUAUGUUAAUACUCCUUGCCGCACAGAGGACACACAAGUCUAUGGAUUUCACUACAUCUUGUCUUUUGAUGGCAUGCAUGUCCACGGCAACAUUGACAAGGAUAGCGUGGAUCAUCUGAGAAAAAAACUGAUGUACCUUGUGCUUCAGAUGGAAAGCAAUUUGGGUUAUGACGAUCCUGUAAGCGACGACGAAUGA
This 390-nucleotide ribosomal RNA is filed under the name Triticum aestivum (bread wheat). RNAcentral's name for it is "partial small subunit ribosomal RNA". Lineage: Eukaryota; Viridiplantae; Streptophyta; Magnoliopsida; Poales; Poaceae. The record is from RNAcentral.